UCAUCACAGGGGUAAAAUAAAGAGUAGAUAAGGCGGCAGCGGCUAAUGAUGAUUUUUCUCCCAGCGUCCAGAAUGAAAGCUACAAAUGGGCGAUAAAAAGCCCAAAAAGGUGUCACAGAAAGAUUUCAGAGAGCCGACAGAGGCUAAUCACUUGGGUGAAGACAAAGACAGCCCAAUCACUUUUAUGACUUGCUCAGAAUGCUGCUGCAUGGAUAAUAGUUUUUUUCCUCAUGGUUUACAAAUGUGCAGAGGAAUAUCUGCCUUGUUACAGCUGUGGAGAGAGGAUCUGGCCCUGCUGCGUUGAGCCUUAUUCUGCUGAGGCUUUGAUCACGAGGUUCACACAGGCGACGGAAAUAUACCACCUAACAGGGGAAGAGCUGUAGUGCUGCAGUGCCUGCACAGUGGGUGGGGGGGUUGAGGCAGGGACUUUCCAAGGCAAGAAAAAGUCAGCAACUUAAGAAGAAUAGCACCAUCUCCUAUGGUCUCACUCCCCAUGAUUUUCUUUGUUCAGCCAGAAUUUUCAGACAACAUUUUGACAUGGGAAACCUGAGUGUUAAAACACCCACGCUCAUCGGUUUGUCACUCAACCGCUCAAUUGGCAUAAUUUAAGCCAAUUUAGAAGCUUCCCUCUGUUGAGAGCGAAGGGGUUAGAAACCACGUGUUGCAGCUUGCAGCUAUAAUGACAAAUGUUCUUCCAAAGCAUUGAUAUUAUUAGCUACCCGCCACGCAUAUGCCCACAAAAUACAUGUAUUAUAUAAUCUAGUUUUCCGGUGGCAUUAUCAAUGUAGUGGUAUUUUUCUGGCCUGCACAUCCCUCCUGUAAUUGUCAAGUUAUGAUAAUUUCAUCAUUUUGUCAAUCAGUAACAUUCACCUGUUCUUACAAAGGUUAAAUGCUUGAUACUUAAACAUUUUAACAAUGUAACAAUAAAUAUUUGAGACUGC
Long non-coding RNA from Scophthalmus maximus (turbot), 941 nucleotides. RefSeq lists it as uncharacterized. NCBI's taxonomy places the organism in Eukaryota, Metazoa, Chordata, Actinopteri, Pleuronectiformes, Scophthalmidae. The transcript is spliced from 2 exons. The record is from RefSeq and is a predicted model, not a curated record.